CAGUAGCCGCGGUAAUACGGAGGGCGCGAGCGUUACCCGGAUUUACUGGGCGUAAAGGGCGUGUAGGCGGCCUGGGGCGUCCCAUGUGAAAGGCCACGGCUCAACCGUGGAGGAGCGUGGGAUACGCUCAGGCUAGAGGGUGGAAGAGGGUGGUGGAAUUCCCGGAGUAGCGGUGAAAUGCGCAGAUACCGGGAGGAACGCCGAUGGCGAAGGCAGCCACCUGGUCCACUUCUGACGCUGAGGCGCGAAAGCGUGGGGAGCAAACCGGAUUAGAUACCCGCGUAGUCCCUGUCUCUUAUAC
RNAcentral lists this ribosomal RNA (301 nucleotides) under uncultured bacterium. RNAcentral's name for it is "partial 16S ribosomal RNA". It matches the Rfam family "Bacterial small subunit ribosomal RNA", at positions 509 to 807 of the family's 1533-position model. The record is from RNAcentral.